UAAGUAAGCGGAGGAAAAGAAACUAAACAGGAUUCCCUCAGUAAUGGCGAAUGAACAGGGAUGAGCUCAACAUGGAAAUUGUGGCACCUCGCCAUGAAUUGUAAUCUCUCGAUGCAUUGCCAAUGGAGGCGCAGAUGUAAGCCGCUUGGAAAAGCGAUUCAUGGAGGGUGAGAUGCCCGUUUGUCAUCUGCAGUCCUCUGUGUUCGGCGUGCAUUCUAAGAGUCACGUUCCUUGGGAGUGGAGCGCAAAUUGGGUGGUAAAUUUCAUCUCAAGCUAAAUAUGGGUUCGAGACCGAUAGCAAACAAGUACCAUGAGGGAAAGAUGAAAAGGACUUUGAAAAGAGAGUUAAAAGUGCCUGAACUUGCUGAAACGAAAGCGGAUGGAACCAGUCUGCUUGGUGAGAUUGUCGCGUGCUGCAUUGAUUGUCUGCUUGCUCAGCGUAAGCGUGCUUGUAGUCUUUGACGUGUUCGCGCGUGAUGUUUCUUGCCUUGUCAGUCACUGUCAGUUGGCAGGCGAGGAUAACUCUUGGGACAUGGUAGCCUGCUUGCGGGUGGGUGAAUGUGCCUUGUAGGACUCGCUUGUGUACUGCAUUCUUUUGUUUGGCUGCGCUGCUGUGCUUUGCUGUCCUCGUGGCUCUCAGCACUGGCACCUCCCUUACAAUCCAUGGUGACGAAAUGGUUCUAUUCGACCCG
This 692-nucleotide ribosomal RNA is filed under the name Gymnodinium microreticulatum. RNAcentral describes it as "LSU rRNA". It matches the Rfam family "Eukaryotic large subunit ribosomal RNA", at positions 43 to 651 of the family's 3401-position model. The record is from RNAcentral. Lineage: Eukaryota; Dinophyceae; Gymnodiniales; Gymnodiniaceae.